Molecule: ribosomal RNA, 636 nt
Filed under: Nervilia mackinnonii
Lineage: Eukaryota; Viridiplantae; Streptophyta; Magnoliopsida; Asparagales; Orchidaceae
Description: eukaryotic LSU rRNA
Rfam family: Eukaryotic large subunit ribosomal RNA
Source: RNAcentral
UUGUAGUCUGGAGAAGCGUCCUCAGCGACGGACCGGGCCCAAGUCCCCUGGAAAGGGGCGCCGGGGAGGGUGAGAGCCCCGUCCGGCCCGGACCCUGCCGCAACACGAGGCGCUGUCGGCGAGUCGGGUUGUUUGGGAAUGCAGCCCAAAUAGGGCGGUAAAUUCCGUCCAAGGCUAAAUAUAGGCGAGAGACCGAUAGCGAACAAGUACCGCGAGGGAAAGAUGAAAAGGACUUUGAAAAAAGAGUCAAAGAGUGCUUGAAAUUGUCGGGAGGGAAGCGGAUGGGGGCCGGCGGUGCGCCUCGGCCCGAAGCGGAACGGCAGCUGUUGGUCCGCUGGUCGGCUCGAGGUGCGGAUCGUUGCAGGCCAUCCCGGCGGCAGGAGCCCGGGCGAUCGAUGCCCGCGGAGGCACCGUCGGGGCGGUCGGCAUGCACAGCGCGCGCCUUCGUGGCGAGCCCUACGAGGCUCUUGCGUGCUCGUUGCAACGGCCUGUGGGCUCCCCAUUCGACCCGUCUUGAAACACGGACCAAGGAGCCUGACAUGCGUGCGAGCCGACGGGUGUCCAAGCCCGGUGGGCGCAAGGAAGCUGAUGUGCGGGAUCCUCUCGAUGGGUGCACCGCCGACCGACCUCGAUCUU